Molecule: long non-coding RNA, 1300 nt
Organism: Gadus chalcogrammus (walleye pollock)
Lineage: Eukaryota; Metazoa; Chordata; Actinopteri; Gadiformes; Gadidae
Exons: 3
Source: RefSeq, a predicted model, not a curated record
UGUCUGCAAAGCGAACGUUGGACUUGAAUUAUACUGGUAGUAACUACGUUUUUUUUCUCCAGGAUUUGUGUUUUUUUGGGCCUGGAAAAGUUUUGUGUCAUGUUGUUUUGAACUUCAACUGUCGGAGGAGCGACCAUGGGAGCGACGGGUAACUGGACGGGUAACUGGACGGGUAACUGGAGUUGGGUAACUAGCCUAGCUACAUGUCAGAGUGACGUGUCGCAGCACGGAACGUUACGACGCAAGAAAAAGACAAAGGACGCUUAGAACACGUGUGUGCCAGAAAACAUUCAUUGUUUUUUGACCAUCCCCCAAAAGAUUGAGGAUUGUCCAGGUAAACCUGGCACAAAACAUCCCCUCGCCCAAAGCCCCAACAUUUCAUGAUGUGAGCUGUGAAAAGGCACAGCGGCGCCACAUCUUCAUCCGACGUGGAGGACAGACGGAGGAACUCUCUGGUACAUCUGGAGUAGCCGUUGUGGGUCAGCAGGGCCUUCCUCACGGUGAAGAAGGACACCGUCUUCUCCAAGAUGUCCGACGCUGGGAUUCCAUUCUGCAGGUGUUCUCCGAUCAGAACCCUCAGCUUCUCCACUCCAGUGGAGCACUUUCUCUCUAGCAUGUGGAGUUUACACCUGGGAGGGGAGAGAACGCCAUUAGAAAUGCAGAACUGAGUAACAGCGUUAAACUGACAUAAUAAUUGGAGUCAUUUGACUCUUUAAAUAGCUUAAGAAUCAGAUUUAACCAUAAUCUGCCAGUUGCUGUGGAUACUCAAUAUGCAAUUUUUUCUGGGAAGCAACUAGGUUAUAAAAUGAAAUGCUUACCGAAAGAGCUGUUCCUUAAUGGUGCCUUGCAGGUCCAUAUCAGAGUAGGGAGCCAUUUUAGAUAUUGGUCUUGAGUUUGAAGGUAUUUGUAAAAAGGAUAAAACGCUCAAGAAAUAUCCAGCAAUUCAGUGGAGGUGGAGGCUGCAGUUGCUUCUGAAGAUGUUCUGUGUCUAGAUUGGUUUCCUCGUGCUGCCUUUAUGCUCCUCAUCCAGCAUGAGCUUGGCUGCUCAGCCAAUCAGGAGGCCCAGAGUCAGGGACAAUGGCCUGAAUUUAAUGGAUGACACAGAGAACAGGUGGAAUGUUGUUCUCAAUGGCAUAUGUCAAUGUGUUGGGGCAACAUCUUCCAUGGGAAAAAGGCCUGGGCCAGUUCUAUUGUCACGGAUAUUUAACAAAUAAUACAAAUCUGUAUAUUUUUGUAUUUAAGUUAUGAAUUUGGUGCGGCACAAAAAAUACCCCAAAAUGCUAAAAUAUUCUGGCUGUCA